RNAcentral lists this ribosomal RNA (566 nucleotides) under Craterellus sp. G2070. RNAcentral's name for it is "eukaryotic LSU rRNA". Lineage: Eukaryota; Fungi; Basidiomycota; Agaricomycetes; Cantharellales; Hydnaceae. The record is from RNAcentral.
GUGUGUGUGUGUGUGGUUAAUCCUCAGAAUUUUGGUCAUUGAGGAUUGGUUGGYUUGGGAGAGAUUGACUGAGAGUUGGUGCUCUCAAAUGUCGUGCAGAAUCUCUCCUUAGAAGCCAUUAGUGCUGCUGCUCAUGUUAUUACAACUUUCAGCAAUGGAUCUCUUGGUUCUCGCAUCGAUGAAGAACGCAGUGAAAUGCGAUAACUGGUGUGAAUUGCAUCCUUGUAACUCUAAUUUACGAAUAACACCAAGUGAAUCAUCGAGUCUUUGAACGCAAUUGYGCCCUCUCGGUCGCUUCCAAUUGGGGGUUGACUCAUAGAGGGUACAUCUGUUCGAGGGUCAUUUGAAUCUCUCAAAGGGUCGGCUCUAGUCUGUCCUUUGGAAUUGGGUCUUGCUGGUGAUAAUCUCAGCUUGCCUGGAAAGCAUUAGCAAGUCUUUAAUGAGACGUCAGGUCUUUUUAAGUGAAGAGGUGAAAGGUUUUUGUGAAGCCUCCCUCAUGACCAAAAGUCUCUUGAGUGAUUAAAACUUGCUUCUAAUCAUCUGUGAUGGGAUAAUAAGUCCUUUCA